Limanda limanda (common dab) is the source of this 204-nucleotide long non-coding RNA. RefSeq lists it as uncharacterized. The transcript has 2 exons. The record is from RefSeq and is a predicted model, not a curated record. Lineage: Eukaryota; Metazoa; Chordata; Actinopteri; Pleuronectiformes; Pleuronectidae.
UCUUGCCCGACGAAGCAGAUGCUGAUGAUGAAGAAGAAGGAGAACUCAUAAGAAGAACUACUCAUAACAAGAACUAAGAAGUCUCAGAUGAGUGGACUGCCUGUUUCCAAGAAAUGGACAAUGAAGGGGGAUGUUUAUAUUGUUUGUUUGCUGUUCCGUUCAGUCCUAUUUUCUGUUCAAAUAAAGCAUAUUGGAGUGACCCCA